This 551-nucleotide unclassified non-coding RNA is filed under the name Hevea brasiliensis (rubber tree). Lineage: Eukaryota; Viridiplantae; Streptophyta; Magnoliopsida; Malpighiales; Euphorbiaceae. The record is from RNAcentral.
GUUGAAUUGAGUUUAAUCCUAUUGUCCAGUGUGUGCGUGUGUGUAUGCACCGAGUUCAAAAAAUACCUGUUAGUUUAUAUGGGGGAGAAAAAGAAGAAGAUUCCAAUGAAAAAAUGUUUUUCUACCAUGAGUAGCAUGUAGAAUACCUCAACAUAAUAAUUGACAUGUUUCCAGCAUUAUACAUAUAACUUCUGAAUUCAAUUGAGAUUCCACAUUAUUGAGGUAAAACCAGAAUCCUUUCUUCCCCCAAACCAAGCUGAAAGCCAUUCAAGUAAGUAUUCUCCUUUAGUUUGUUUUGUUGUUAAGAAAGAUGAUACAUAUGCAUUAUCUUAACAUCUACUUUUCCUAAUAUGAUCAAAUAGGAAUCAGAUUUCUGAGUUCACAAUAUAAUUUUGAGGAAUUAUAUCUGAUAAAUAGAAAUUUGGUUGAAUUUCUAAGAUAUAUUUCUUUUGCAAGGAUAUUUUAGAAAUGUCAUUGCCUUCAAGCUUCUCAUUGCAUUCCAGAAUAGUUAAAAACUACUCAUUCAUUAUUAACAUGAUGCUUAUUUUCCU